Felis catus (domestic cat) is the source of this 2525-nucleotide long non-coding RNA. RefSeq lists it as uncharacterized. The record is from RefSeq and is a predicted model, not a curated record. The transcript has 2 exons. NCBI's taxonomy places the organism in Eukaryota, Metazoa, Chordata, Mammalia, Carnivora, Felidae.
CCACACGGAGCCCUAGGGCACAGCGCUGCUACGGUUUGGGGAGAUAUUCUGCAUCGGCUUUAGAAAAUUCUAUUGUAUUCCUUAUUUGCGGAUGUUGGAUUUUAGCAAAUAUUUCUGCAGCUGUUAAGAUAAUAAUAUCUGUUAGUGUGAGAAAUGAUAGCCGUUUUAAGCCACAUUGGCCUUCCUGAAACAACCCAGUCUGGUCAUGCUCCACGACGUUUCCCCGCCGCGCUGGACGCGGCCUGUCGCUAUUCCGUCCGGGAGCAGGCGGCGCUGGCUGUGGCGCUGACGUCACGGCUCUGCUAGCUCAUAAAAGGUGAGCCGGUUCUUCUUUCCAGUGUCUGAGUCCACACAAGACUAGAAUUUUCUGUUUCUUGAACUCACACUACCUGACUUGAAUUCUUUGGGGACACACUCUGUGCAGCAGUGACAGGGUCUUUGGGCGGCGCCCUCUCGUGCUGGCUUCACCACCUGCCCUUUCUCCUAAAACCCGCCUCGUACGCGCUCACAUCCACUGGCUCGGUGCGCUGUCUUUUCCUCCGACGACCUGCUGUCACCUUCCCUCUGCAUCCAGAACAGUUUACCGGCUCCUUCCCUUUUCCUGGACUCCAUUGUCACACGAUGCCAGCUUUAACAAUCCGUUUUUCCUUUUUAAAAUUUUAUUAUAGAGAGAGUGCAAGUGGGAUGGAGGGGCUGAGAGAGGGGAAGAGAGCGAGAGAGAGAGCGAGAGAGAGAGAUGGGGGGGGAAUUUCAAGCAGGUUCCACGCUCAGCAUGGAGUCCAAUGCGGGGCUCGAUCCCAUGCCCCUGGGACCAGGACCUGAGCUGAAAUCAAGAGUCGGACACUCAGCUGACCAAGCUGCGCCCAGAAGCCACAACAGUCCUUUCAAACAACCAACUUCUGCCUGUGCAAUUCUCUCGACAGCCCCCACUCCCACUGGUUUUGAUACUUCCGGGCGUGUUACUUGCCCCCUUCUGCUGCUGUUCUUAUGAAGCCGGAGGCCCAGCUAGCCGACUCCUAGCUCGCCCGCUGGCGUCCCCACUGCUGGCUGCAGUGGCUCCCAGAGGUCUGGCAGGUCCUGUUUCAGCGUCCUGGAGGCUGGAGGACUUUAUAACUUUCAUUAUGUAUUUUUUUUCUUUUGAGUCAGGUUAUUGAGAGGGUUUUUGCCCUAGGAUAUGAGUUUCGUUUGAACAACAACAGAAAAACCAUCAAGGCAGAGAUUAAUCUGGGAGAUCUGGCUCUGGGGCAGGGCGGCGGUGUGAUACCACGGUGGCGAACGCAGAACAAACGGCCCAGAACUGCCCCGUCUGCCUCGCCAGAGAGCCAGGAGGCAAAAGUGGCCACUAACCGAGCUGAUGCUGUUGAAAUCAGCCGCGGUCCUACCGGGAGGGGCCCCAAGGGCCAGCGGCACGGGCACCGCUCACGCACGGGAGCUAACAUCCACCUCGCUAAGAACACAACACGUGACGGGAAGCUCUACGCCCAACGUGGGGCUGAACUCAGGACCCCGAGAUGGAGAGUUGCACAAUGUACCAUCUACCGCCUGAGCCAGCCAGGCGCGCUAAGGGCUGACGUUCUUACAACAGUUAGGGGGCGCCGGCCCUGUGCUCGGGACGUCCCGUCCUAACUCACUGGAUCAGGUGAAGCACCAUCAGCAUCCCUGUGUCGUCCCUGAGGAAACCGAGGCAGCACAAGGAGGUUAAAUGAUGUGCCCAAGGUCUCCUAUCUCCACGGUGCCAGUGCCGGCUCAGGACGGCAGCCCCUGGCCCGAGAGCCCGAGCCCUUCACCACCCGCUUCCUCUCCAGAAAUCAAAGCCAGAGAGGGGCGCCUGGGUGGCUCAGUCGGUUAAGCGUCCGACUUCGGCUCAGGUCAUGAUCUCACAGUUCGUGGGUUCGAGCCUUGCAUUGGGCUCUGUGCUGACAGCUCAGAGUCUGGAACCUGCUUCGGAUUCUGUGUCUCCCUCUCUCUCUGUUCCUCCCCUGCUCAUGCUCUGUCUCUCUCCUUCAAAAUAAAUAAAAACAUUAAAAAAAAAAUAAAAAAAAAGAAACCAAAGCCAGAGAAUCAGAGUAUGUUCCUUUAUGGACACCCACCUGCCUGCUGCUGGAGAGGCCGGGGCAAGCCUGCCGUCCUUGGGCUGUGGGGGCGCCUAUCCGGCACGGCCAGGAGGAGGGGAUUUGCCAGAAUGGUCUCCACCUGUCGAUUCCCUUUCUGGGGAUCUGUCCUGCUGGCCCUAAAUGCAGACGAGAUAUUUAUCUCAGCGUGAUUUAUAAUGCCCUAAACCAGAAACAGCCUACGUGCCCUUCUUAGGAAACCGUUAACCCUUCUCGUCAAUGCACCAUUAGGCAGCGGUACCAGUAAGGUGUGCUAGUGGCUGCGGCCUUCAGGAUAACAGAGAAAGCGGGGGUUUCGCUCCCUCGUACGUCACGUGUUGUAACAUACACGUUAUGUAACGAUACGUUACGUAUUAACAUACACAUCCCAGGGUGUUAUAAUACCGUAGUAAAUAAAAACCAAACUAAACUGAA